RNAcentral lists this ribosomal RNA (425 nucleotides) under uncultured bacterium. Its description in RNAcentral is "partial 16S ribosomal RNA". It matches the Rfam family "Bacterial small subunit ribosomal RNA", at positions 354 to 796 of the family's 1533-position model. The record is from RNAcentral.
GUGGGGAAUCUUGCGCAAUGGGCGAAAGCCUGACGCAGCCAUGCCGCGUGGAUGAUGAAGGUCUUAGGAUUGUAAAAUCCUUUCACCGGUGAAGAUAAUGACUGUAGCCGGAGAAGAAGCCCCGGCUAACUUCGUGCCAGCAGCCGCGGUAAUACGAAGGGGGCUAGCGUUGCUCGGAAUUACUGGGCGUAAAGGGAGCGUAGGCGGACAUUUAAGUCAGGGGUGAAAUCCCGAGGCUCAACCUCGGAACUGCCUUUGAUACUGGGUGUCUUGAGUGUGAGAGAGGUGAGUGGAACUCCGAGUGUAGAGGUGAAAUUCGUAGAUAUGCGGAAGAACACCAGUGGCGAAGGCGACACGCUGGCUCAUUACUGACGCUGAGGCGCGAAAGCGUGGGGAGCAAACAGGAUUAGAAACCCCAGUAGUCC